AGUGGAUGGGGAGCAACCUAGUUGUGCGUGUGUAAAGGUAGUGCCAAGAAAAGCGAUGAUCAUGUUGAAAAUCAAUUCCCGGUACCGAAACCGACACAGGUGGGCAAGUAGAGAAUACUAAGGGGCGCGAGGUAACUCUCUCCAAGGAACUCGGCAAAAUGACCCCGUAACUUAGGGAGAAGGGGUGCCACCGAGAGGUGGUCGCAGUGAAGAGGCCCAGGCGACUGUUUAGCAAAAACAUAGGUCUCUGCAAACUCGAAAGAGGAGGUAUAGGGGCUGACGCCUGCCCAGUGCCGGAAGGUUAAAGAAGUUGGUCAGUUUUAGGAUGAAGCUAGCGACUGAAGCCCCGGUGAACGGCGGCCGUAACUAUAACGGUCCUAAGGUAGCGAAAUUCCUUGUCGGGUAAGUUCCGACCCGCACGAAAGGCGUAACGAUCUGGGCGCUGUCUCGGAGAGAGGCUCGGCGAAAUAGGAUUGUCUGUGAAGAUACGGACUACCUGCAUUUGGACAGAAAGACCCUAUGAAGCUUUACUAUAGCUUGGAAUUGUGUUCGGGCUUCCUGUGCGCAGGAUAGGUGGGAGGCGUAGAAGGUAUUCUUGUGGGGAUACUGGAGCCAACGGUGAGAUACCACUCUCAGGAGGCUAGAAUUCUAACUUAAUUAAGGACAGUUUCAGGUGGGUAGUUUGACUGGGGCGGUCGCCUCCAAAAAGGUAACGGAGGCGUACAAAGGUUCCCUCAGGCUGGUUGGAAAUCAGUCGAAGAGUGCAAAGGCAGAAGGGAGCUUGACUGCGAGAAGUACAGUUCGAGCAGGGUGGAAACACGGUCUUAGUGAUCCGACGGUGCUGUGUGGAAGGGCCGUCGCUCAACGGAUAAAAGUUACUCUAGGAUAACAGGCUGAUCUCCCCCAAGAGUUCACAUCGACGGGGAGGUUUGGCACCUCGAUGUCGGCUCAUCGCAACCUGGGGCGGAAGUACGUCCCAAGGGUUGGGCUGUUCGCCCAUUAAAGCGGUACGUGAGCUGGGUUCAGAACGUCGUGAGACAGUUCGGUCCAUAUCCGAUGUAGGCGUGAGAAUAUUGAGAGGAGCCUUCCUUAGUACGAGAGGACCGGGAAGGACGCACCGCUGGUGUACCUGUUAUGAUGCCAAUUGUAAACGCAGGGUAGCCAAGUGCGGAGAGGAUAACCGCUGAAAGCAUCUAAGUGGGAAGCCCACCUCAAGAUGAGUAUUCUGGUGUAAGGUCACGGGAAGACGACCCGUAAAUAGGCACGAGGUGGAAGUGCAGAGAUGUAUGAAGCCGAAGUGUACUAAUAGACCGUCGGCUUGACC
This 1324-nucleotide ribosomal RNA is filed under the name metagenome. RNAcentral's name for it is "bacterial LSU rRNA". It matches the Rfam family "Bacterial large subunit ribosomal RNA", at positions 1561 to 2925 of the family's 2925-position model. The record is from RNAcentral.